CUGGAUUCUAUUUCUAUUCGAGCAACUGCAAGUAGUAGUAGUAGUGGUGGUGGCACUAAGGCUGUUACUACCCGGAGAAGAAAACCCAAGAAUGGUGGAACCAAUGGUGGGUCCGGCAAGAAUGCGAAAGUUAGUGAGAUUCCUGCAGUUUCAACAAAAGGGUCGUCGGGGAAAGUGGUAGACAAAGUACAGGUAAAGAGAAAAAAGCAGCAGGAAGAGUGUUUCCAGGAUGAUGGGCCGGUGAACGUGCGAGCACUGCAUCAGAAUGGUGACCCUUUGGGGCGUAAAGAUUUGGGUAAGUGUGUGGUUAGGUGGUUAUCUCAAGGAAUGAGAGCUAUGGCUUUGGAUUUCGUUACAGCAGAGAUGCAGGGAGAGUUUGCUGAGCUUAAGCAGAGAAUGGAACCAGGAUUGACUUUUGUUAUUCAAGCUCAGCCUUAUAUUAAUGCUGUCCCUAUGCCUCUUGGUCUUGAAGCUAUUUGCUUGAAGGCUUGCACCCAUUAUCCUACCCUUUUCGACAACUUCCAGCGUGAGCUCAGAGAGGUUCUUCAGGACUUUCAGAGCAAGUCAUCCGUCCAAGAUUGGCGUGAGACUGAGUCAUGGAAGCUGCUCAAGGAUCUCGCCAGUUCAGCUCAGCAUAAAGCCAUCGCAAGGAAGGAAUCUCAACCAAAAUCUGUUCCUGGUGUAAUGGGAAUGGACCUCGAGAAAGCAAAAGCCAUUCAGAGUAGGAUUGAUGAUUUCGCCAAUCGUAUGUCAGAUUUGCUGCAUAUCGAAAGGGAUGCUGAAUUGGAGUUCACUCAGGAAGAGUUGAAUGCUGUCCCUGCACCGGAUGUUACUUCUGAGGCUCAGAAGCCAUUAGAAUUCCUGGUUAGCCAUGCGCAGCCUGAGCAGGAACUCUGUGAUACUAUCUGCAAUCUGACAGCAGUUAGCACAUCUAUAGGAUUAGGUGGAAUGCAUUUAGUGUUGUUCAAAUUGGAGGGAAAUCACAGAUUGCCUCCAACUAACCUCUCACCUGGAGACAUGGUUUGUGUCAGAAUAUGUGAUAGUAGAGGCGCUGGCGCAACUUCUUGCAUGCAAGGAUUUGUGCAUAACCUAG
This 1093-nucleotide unclassified non-coding RNA is filed under the name Hevea brasiliensis (rubber tree). The record is from RNAcentral. Lineage: Eukaryota; Viridiplantae; Streptophyta; Magnoliopsida; Malpighiales; Euphorbiaceae.